CUGUCGCUUAAAAAAUAAAUACAUAGUACAGUCUACAGGCACACAUACCUGUCAGUUGCUUAAGAAUGUUUGGUUGGUAAACAUCCUUGUUACUAACAGCUGGGUCCUUCUCUCAUUUAUUCUGCCUGUCACUUUGGCAGAGAGCCCUCCUCUCAGGUUUGUAAGUGUUGGUGGAUUCUUUAAAUUGAGUGUGAUUCCACAUUUUCUCAAGUUGUUGAUGUUCAGAUCUUCCCAAAUAAAGACCACCAAUUUUAUAUUGAGAAGUAAGAUAUUUUUAGAGUUGGAAGGUUGUGGUGGUAGGGGUGCAGGCCUCUGAGUUUGAGGACAGCCUGGGCUACAUAAGAAGCCCUGUCUUGG
This 357-nucleotide long non-coding RNA is filed under the name Rattus norvegicus (Norway rat). Its description in RNAcentral is "long non-coding RNA NONRATT001869". Lineage: Eukaryota; Metazoa; Chordata; Mammalia; Rodentia; Muridae. The record is from RNAcentral.